CCUACGGGAGGCUGCAGUGGGGAAUGUUGGACAAUGGGCGAAAGCCUGAUCCAGCCAUGCCGCGUGUGUGAAGAAGGCCUUCGGGUUGUAAAGCACUUUCAGUGGGGAAGAAAGCCUUGGGGCUAAUACCCUCGAGGAAGGACAUCACCCACAGAAGAAGCACCGGCUAACUCCGUGCCAGCAGCCGCGGUAAUACGGAGGGUGCGAGCGUUAAUCGGAAUUACUGGGCGUAAAGCGCGCGUAGGCGGUCUGAUAAGCCGGUUGUGAAAGCCCCGGGCUCAACCUGGGAACGGCAUCCGGAACUGUCAGGCUAGAGUGCAGGAGAGGAAGGUAGAAUUCCCGGUGUAGCGGUGAAAUGCGUAGAGAUCGGGAGGAAUACCAGUGGCGAAGGCGGCCUUCUGGACUGACACUGACGCUGAGGUGCGAAAGCGUGGGUAGCAAACAGGAUUAGAUACCCCGGGUAGUC
Molecule: ribosomal RNA, 466 nt
Filed under: Vreelandella stevensii
Lineage: Bacteria; Pseudomonadati; Pseudomonadota; Gammaproteobacteria; Oceanospirillales; Halomonadaceae
Description: partial 16S ribosomal RNA
Rfam family: Bacterial small subunit ribosomal RNA
Source: RNAcentral